Myodes glareolus (Bank vole) is the source of this 958-nucleotide non-coding RNA. The record is from RefSeq and is a predicted model, not a curated record. Lineage: Eukaryota; Metazoa; Chordata; Mammalia; Rodentia; Cricetidae.
AUGUGCUUUUUUCCACAACUACUUCAAGCUGACAUUGAGACAUUGUUAUCAGGGCCCAAGCAGGUUGAAAGGCUAGCCAAAGUCUGGACCCGGUCCUGGCAGCAGGUGUUGCACUGGGGCAUCUCGCCCAGUGAUCUAACAGCAGUUGAGAGGGAAGACCCGUCCUUACUUACUCCUGCAGCCAAAAGGCUGAAACUGGACACCAAGGAGAAGAGAGAGAAGAAGCAGAAAGUGGACGAGGAUGAGAUUCAGAAGAUGCAAAUCCUCAUCUCUUCUUUUUCUGAGGAGCAGCUGAACCGUUAAGAAAUGUAUCGCCGGUCAACUUUCCCUAAGGCAACCAUUAAAAGGCUGAUCCAGUCUAUCACGGGGACCUCUGUGUCCCAGAAUGUUGUGAUUGCCAUGUCUGGAAUUUCUAAAGUUUUUGUGGGGGAGGUAGUAGAAGAAGCCCUGGAUGUGUGUGAGAAGUGGGGAGAGAUGCCACCACUGCAGCCCAAGCACAUGCGGGAGGCUGUUCGGAGGCUGAAGUCCAAGGGGCAGAUCCCCAACUCUAAGCACAAGAAAAUCAUCUUCUUCUAGAUCUGCCUGAGAGCGGUCCAGACUCCACAGCUGGGCUGUGCAUUGGUGCUCCUCGUCAGUGCUCCAAGGACCCACGAUGCUGAUGUCAGUGUCUCUGUCACACCUGUAAGGCACCAGUAACAAAGACAAAGACAACCUGCUGGCUUCACUUUGAAGCCUAAAGUUGCUACAACCCAGGUUGUUUCUCGCCUCUGGUUUUUAGAAACUUAACCUUGGGUCAUCUGCCAUGAAGUCACAAGGGUGACAUACUUCAUGUUGUUAACAUUUCAGAUUCUCCUGCGGAGUUACCAUUAAACUUUUCCGACUUGUGUGGAAAAGUUUAUUUUGUUGAAGGCAAAAUUUAUCAUUCUUCCACUGUCUAAAUAAAACUAACCAGUCUUGA